RNAcentral lists this ribosomal RNA (451 nucleotides) under uncultured bacterium. Its description in RNAcentral is "bacterial SSU rRNA". It matches the Rfam family "Bacterial small subunit ribosomal RNA", at positions 29 to 524 of the family's 1533-position model. The record is from RNAcentral.
AACGAACGCUGGCGGCAUGCCUAACACAUGCAAGUCGAACGCCCUCUUCGGAGGGAGUGGCGCACGGGUGCGUAACGCGUGGGAACCUGCCCUUAGGUUCGGAAUAACUCAGAGAAAUUUGAGCUAAUACCGGAUAAUGUCUUCGGACCAAAGAUUUAUCGCCUUUGGAUGGGCCCGCGUUGGAUUAGCUAGUUGGUGGGGUAAAGGCCUACCAAGGCGACGAUCCAUAGCUGGUCUGAGAGGAUGAUCAGCCACACUGGGACUGAGACACGGCCCAGACUCCUACGGGAGGCAGCAGUGGGGAAUAUUGGACAAUGGGCGAAAGCCUGAUCCAGCAAUGCCGCGUGAGUGAUGAAGGCCUUAGGGUUGUAAAGCUCUUUUACUGGGGGAUGAUAAUGACAGUACCCAGAGAAUAAGCUCCGGCUAACUCCGUGCCAGCAGCCGCGGUAAU